Molecule: ribosomal RNA, 300 nt
Filed under: Triticum aestivum (bread wheat)
Lineage: Eukaryota; Viridiplantae; Streptophyta; Magnoliopsida; Poales; Poaceae
Description: partial small subunit ribosomal RNA
Source: RNAcentral
AUGGCUUCUAUCACCCUUGCUGAUCUAUGUUGUGGAAGACAAAAUCAAAUGCUAUGUGUCCGGGUGUCUCGGCUUACGCACUUCCGCAGCGGUUUAGAGAGCGGUCCUAUCAAGCUCAUACACAUGGUCAUCAUCGACGUGCAGGGUAACUGCAGUUAUGCAGUUGUACCAACAUCAUUUGCCGGUGCUUAUUUACAUGUCUUACAAGAGCGGAUUAUCUAUAAGCUUGGCUACUUGAUGGUCUGGCCACUGCUAAACAUACUGAAUCCUGCUGCAGCUCCACGCAUGAGUUUAUCUUAG